GUCUACAGCCAUGCCACCCUGAAUGCGCCCGAUCUCGUCUGAUCUCGGAAGCUAAGCAGGGUAAGGCCUGGUUAGCACUUGGGUGGGAGACUGCCUGGGAAUACCGGGUGCUGUAGGCU
Ribosomal RNA from Cavia aperea (Brazilian guinea pig), 119 nucleotides. The record is from Ensembl. NCBI's taxonomy places the organism in Eukaryota, Metazoa, Chordata, Mammalia, Rodentia, Caviidae.